AAAUUGAAGAGUUUGAUCAUGGCUCAGAUUGAACGCUGGCGGCAGGCCUAACACAUGCAAGUCGAACGGUAACAGGAAGCAGCUUGCUGCUUUGCUGACGAGUGGCGGACGGGUGAGUAAUGUCUGGGAAACUGCCUGAUGGAGGGGGAUAACUACUGGAAACGGUGGCUAAUACCGCAUAAUGUCGCAAGACCAAAGAGGGGGACCUUCGGGCCUCUUGCCAUCAGAUGUGCCCAGAUGGGAUUAGCUUGUUGGUGAGGUAACGGCUCACCAAGGCGACGAUCCCUAGCUGGUCUGAGAGGAUGACCAGCCACACUGGAACUGAGACACGGUCCAGACUCCUACGGGAGGCAGCAGUGGGGAAUAUUGCACAAUGGGCGCAAGCCUGAUGCAGCCAUGCCGCGUGUAUGAAGAAGGCCUUCGGGUUGUAAAGUACUUUCAGCGGGGAGGAAGGUGUUGCGGUUAAUAACC
This 471-nucleotide ribosomal RNA is filed under the name Salmonella enterica. RNAcentral describes it as "bacterial SSU rRNA". It matches the Rfam family "Bacterial small subunit ribosomal RNA", at positions 1 to 468 of the family's 1533-position model. Lineage: Bacteria; Pseudomonadati; Pseudomonadota; Gammaproteobacteria; Enterobacterales; Enterobacteriaceae. RNAcentral also lists the same sequence under 2 other names. The record is from RNAcentral.